GAUGAACGCUGGCGGCGUGCUUAACACAUGCAAGUCGAACGGUGAAGGCGGAGCUUGCUCUGCUGGAUCAGUGGCGAACGGGUGAGUAACACGUGAGCAAUCUGCCCCUGACUCUGGGAUAAGCGCUGGAAACGGCGUCUAAUACUGGAUACGAGCUGCGAAGGCAUCUUCAGCAGCUGGAAAGAAUUUCGGUCAGGGAUGAGCUCGCGGCCUAUCAGCUUGUUGGUGAGGUAAUGGCUCACCAAGGCGUCGACGGGUAGCCGGCCUGAGAGGGUGACCGGCCACAAUGGGACUGAGACACGGACCAGACUCCUACGGGAGGCAGCAGUGGGGAAUAUUGCACAAUGGGCGAAAGCCUGAUGCAGCAACGCCGCGUGAGGGAAGAAGGCCUUCGGGUUGUAAACCUCUUUUAGCAGGGAAGAAGCGAAAGUGACGGUACCUGCAGAAAAAGCGCCGGCUAACUACGUG
RNAcentral lists this ribosomal RNA (468 nucleotides) under uncultured bacterium. Its description in RNAcentral is "partial 16S ribosomal RNA". It matches the Rfam family "Bacterial small subunit ribosomal RNA", at positions 28 to 507 of the family's 1533-position model. The record is from RNAcentral.